Callorhinus ursinus (northern fur seal) is the source of this 524-nucleotide long non-coding RNA. RefSeq lists it as uncharacterized. The record is from RefSeq and is a predicted model, not a curated record. Lineage: Eukaryota; Metazoa; Chordata; Mammalia; Carnivora; Otariidae.
UAAAUAAACAAACAAAAAAAAAGAAGUACUGUACGUGUCUGGAAGCAUCUACAGUGAAUUUGAAAUUUCAAGGACAACUUGGAGGAAAAACAGCAUGCGAGUACCAUACAGGAAACUCCUGGUGUCAAGUUUUUAAAUUGUUUUGAGGAAGCCACUCUGUUACAACCCAUCCCAUGUCCCUAUAGUGUGGGACAUAGGUAUUUGGCCAGUCACCGUCUGCUCUUCCUGGAAAUCGUGGAGGCCAGCAGAAAGGACCAAUAUUUUCGUCCAAGAAGAUCUCUGAAACUAUUUGAGCCCUUAGGCAGGCACUUGGCUGAAUCCCAGAAAUCUGUGCCAUCUAGCACAGUGAAGGUGAUUUGGGAUAACUCGUGAUAUAUCUGCUUCUUGAGGGCAGGAAUCUACAGCCUAUUCACAAUGCGAAUUACAUAUUAUUAUCAAAUAGCAUAUUGCCAGGCAUGCAGUGCUCAACAAGCGGUUGUUGAACUAAAAUAAAACCAAAAGUAGAAAUUAGUACGGUAUGGGAA